ACUAGUGUCAAAAUAUAGGUGCAAGAAAUGUUUCAAUUUAGUUGUUUUUCAAGCAAGGUAUUUUUGGUGGUGAGACUCUCUUAAGUUGAUGCUUGGUGCCAAGAUUUUGAAAUUUUUUAAAGCCUUGGCUUUUUAGACUUACGGACUGCAAUGCACUCUUUAAAUCCCCAAUUGACGAGUACGAUGAAAAUAUAGGUGCAAGAAAUGUUUCAAUUUAGUUGCUUUUAAACAAGCUAUGUUGGGUGGUGAGACUAGACUAAGUUGGUGCUUGGUGCCAAGAUUUGGAAAUUAUUAUAGUCUUAGUUUUUAAGACUUAGGGGCUGCAAUGCACUCAUUAAAUCCCUAAAUGAUGAAUAGUGUCAAAAUAUAGGUGCAUGAAAUGUUUCCAUUUAGUUGCUUUUCAAGCAAGCUAUGUUUGGUGGUGAGAAUGGACUAAGUUAGUGUUGGUGCCAAGAUUUGGAAAUGUUUUAAAGUCUUGGUUUUUUAGACUUAGGGGCUGCAAUGCACUCUUUAAACUCCCAAGGGACGACUAGUGUCAACAUAUAGGUGCAAGAAAUGUUUCAAUUUUGUUUCUUUUCAAGCAAGCUAUGUUUGGUGGUGAGACUGAACUAAGUUGGUGCUUGGUGCUUAGAGUUGGAUAUUUUUGAUAGUCUUGGUUUUUUAGACUUAGGUGUAGCAAUGAAGUCUUUAAAUCCCGAAAUGAUAAUUGGUGUCAAAAUAUAGGUGCAAAAAAUGUUUCCAUUUAGUUGCUUUUCAAGCAAGCUAUGUUUGGUGGUGGGAAUUUACUAAGUUGAUGCUUGGUGCCAAGAGUUGGAAAUGUUGGGAAGUCUUGAUUUUUAGACUUAGGGGCUGCAAUGAACUCUUUAAAUCCCCAAAUGACGACUAGUGUCAAAACAUAGGUGCAAGAAAUGUUUCAAAUUAGGUGUUUUUCAAGCAAGCUAUGUUUGGUGGUGAGACUAAACUAUGUUGUCCUUUGUGCCAAUAUUUGGAAAUGUUUCAAAGUCUUGGUUUUUUAGACUUAGGGACUGCAAUGCACUCUUUAAAUCCCAAAAUGACGACUAGUGUCAAAAUAUAGGUGCAAGAAAUGUUUGAACUUAGUAGCUUUUCAAGGAAGCUAUGAUUAGUGGUGAGACUAGACUAAGUUGGUGUUUGGUGCCAAGAUUUGGAAACUUUUUAAAGUCUUGUUUUUUUGGACAUAGGGGCAGCAAUGAAGUCUUUAAAUCCCGAAAUGAUAAUUAGUGUCAAAAUAUAGGUGCAAAAAAUGUUUCCAUUUAGUUGCUUUUAAAGCAAGCUAUGUUGGUUGGUGAGGCUGGACGAGGUUGGUGCUUGGUGCAAUGAUUUGGAAAUUUUUGAAAGUCUUAGUUUUUAGGACUUAGGAGCUGCAAUGCACUCUUAAAUUCCGCGAAUGACGACUAGUGUUAAAAUACAGGUGCAAGAAAUGUUUCAAUUUAGUUGCUUUUCAAGCAAGCUAUAUUUGGUGGGGAGACUGGACUAAGCUGUGCUUGGUACCAAGAUUUGGAAAUGUUAUAAAGUCUUGGUUUUUUAGACUUAGGGCCUACAAUGCACUCUUUAAAUCCCCAAAUGACGACUAGUGUCAAAAUAGAGGUGCAAGAAAUGUUUCAAUUUAGUUACUUUUCAAGCAAACUAUGUUUGGUGGUGAGAGUGGACUAUGUACGUGCUCUGUGCCAAGAUUUGGAAAUUUUUUAUAGUCUAUGUUUUAUAGACUUAGGGGCUGCAAUGCACUCUUUAAAUCCCCAAAUACUGACUAGUUUCAAAAUAUAUGGGCGAGAAAUGUUUCAAUUUAGUUGCUUUUCAAGCAAGCUAUUUUUUGUGGUGAGACUGUACUAAAUUGGUGCUUGCUGCCAAGAUUUUUAAAUUUUUGAAAGCCUUGGCUUUUUAGACUUAGGGACUGCAAUGCACUCUUUAAAUCCCCAAAUGACAACUACGGUGAAAAUAUAGGUACAAGAAAUGUUUCAAUUUAGUUGCUUUUCGAGCAAGCUAUGUUUGGUGGUGAGAUUAGACUAAGUUGGUGCUUGGUGCCAAGAUUUGCAAAUUUUUUAUAGUCUUGGUUUUGUAGACUUAGGGACUUGAAUGCACUCAUUAAAUCCAAAUAGGAUGACUAGUGUCAAAAUAUAGGAGCAAGAAAUGUUUCCACUUAGAUGCUUUUCAAUCACGCUAUGUUUGGUGGUGAGACUGGACUAAGUUGGUGCUUGGUGCCAAGAUUUGGAAAUGUUGUAAAGUCUUGGUCUUUUAGACUUAGGAGUUGCAAUCCACUCUUUAAAUUCCCAAAUGACGACUAGAGUCAAAAUACAGGUGCAAGAAAUGUUUCAAUUUUGCUUCUUUUCAAGCAACCUAUGUUUGGUGGUGAGACUGGACUAAGUUGGUGCUUGGUGCUAAGAUUUGGAAAUUUUUGANUGUGCUUGGUACCAAGAUUUGGAAAUGUUAUAAAGUCUUGGUUUUUUAGACUUAGGGCCUACAAUGCACUCUUUAAAUCCCCAAAUGACGACUAGUGUCAAAAUAGAGGUGCAAGAAAUGUUUCAAUUUAGUUACUUUUCAAGCAAACUAUGUUUGGUGGUGAGAGUGGACUAUGUACGUGCUCUGUGCCAAGAUUUGGAAAUUUUUUAUAGUCUAUGUUUUAUAGACUUAGGGGCUGCAAUGCACUCUUUAAAUCCCCAAAUACUGACUAGUUUCAAAAUAUAUGGGCGAGAAAUGUUUCAAUUUAGUUGCUUUUCAAGCAAGCUAUUUUUUGUGGUGAGACUGUACUAAAUUGGUGCUUGCUGCCAAGAUUUUUAAAUUUUUGAAAGCCUUGGCUUUUUAGACUUAGGGACUGCAAUGCACUCUUUAAAUCCCCAAAUGACAACUACGGUGAAAAUAUAGGUACAAGAAAUGUUUCAAUUUAGUUGCUUUUCGAGCAAGCUAUGUUUGGUGGUGAGAUUAGACUAAGUUGGUGCUUGGUGCCAAGAUUUGCAAAUUUUUUAUAGUCUUGGUUUUGUAGACUUAGGGACUUGAAUGCACUCAUUAAAUCCAAAUAGGAUGACUAGUGUCAAAAUAUAGGAGCAAGAAAUGUUUCCACUUAGAUGCUUUUCAAUCACGCUAUGUUUGGUGGUGAGACUGGACUAAGUUGGUGCUUGGUGCCAAGAUUUGGAAAUGUUGUAAAGUCUUGGUCUUUUAGACUUAGGAGUUGCAAUCCACUCUUUAAAUUCCCAAAUGACGACUAGAGUCAAAAUACAGGUGCAAGAAAUGUUUCAAUUUUGCUUCUUUUCAAGCAACCUAUGUUUGGUGGUGAGACUGGACUAAGUUGGUGCUUGGUGCUAAGAUUUGGAAAUUUUUGAUAGUCUUCGUUUUUUAGACUUAGGGGUUGCAAUGCACUCUUUAAAUCCCUAAAUGUCGACUAGUGUCAAAAUAUAGGUGCAAGAAAUGUUUGAACUUAGUAGCUUUUCAAGCAAGCUAUGUUUAGUGGUGAGACUGGACUAAGUUGGUGUUUGGUGCCAAGAUUUGGAAACUUUUGAAAGUCUUGGUUUUUUGGACAUAGGGGCAGCAAUGAAGUCUUAAAAUACCGAAAUGAUAAUUAGUUUCAAAAUAUAGGUGUAAAAAAUGUUUCCAUUUAGUUGCUUUUAAAGGAAGCUAUGUUGGGUGGUGAGGCUGGACGAGGUUGUUGUUUGGUGCAAAGAUUUGGAAAUUUUUGAAAAUCUUAGUUUUUAGGACUUAGGAGCUGCAAUGCACUUUUCAAUUCCCCGAAUGACGACUAGUGUUAAAAUAUAGGUGCAAGAAAUGUUUCAAUUUAGUUGCUUUUCAAGCAAGCUAUAUUUGGUGGUGAGACUGUACUAAGUUAGUGCUUGGUUCCAAGAUUAGGAAAUUUUUGGAAGGCUUGGUUUUUUAGACUUAGGGGUUGCAAUGCAGUCUUUAAAUCCCCAAAUGAUGACUAGUUUCAAAAUAUAGAUGCGAGAAAUGUUUCAAUUUAAUGUUUUUCAAGCAAGCUUAAUAAAGUCUUGGUUUUUUAGACUUAAGGGUUGCAAUGCACUCUUUAAAUCCCCAAAUGACGACUAGUGUCAAAAUAUAGGUGCAAGAAUGUUUCAAUUUGGUUGCUUCUCGAGCAAGCUAUGUUUGGUGGUGAGACUAUACUAAGUUGGUGCUUGGUGCCAAGAUUUGGAAAUUUUUUAAAGUCAUGGUUUUUUAGACUUAGGGGCUGCAAUGCACUCUUUAAAUUCCCAAAUGACGACUAGUGUCAAAAUAUAGGUGCAAGAAAUGUUUCAAUUUAGUUGCUUUUCAAGCAAGCUAUGUU
RNAcentral lists this long non-coding RNA (4282 nucleotides) under Vigna radiata. Its description in RNAcentral is "long non-coding RNA (VRAD_LNC017881)". Lineage: Eukaryota; Viridiplantae; Streptophyta; Magnoliopsida; Fabales; Fabaceae. The record is from RNAcentral.